Molecule: long non-coding RNA, 951 nt
Filed under: Gopherus agassizii (Agassiz's desert tortoise)
Lineage: Eukaryota; Metazoa; Chordata; Testudines; Testudinidae
Description: lncRNA (ENSGAGG00000021559.1)
Source: RNAcentral
CUUUGCCAGCAUCUCUAGGAUAACAGCUUUUAUCAGCGAUGAGCAGCGUGCCCACAGCUGUGUGCAAGGGCUCAGCUGCCAGCCGCUGAUAAGAGCAGCGCUGAAUGCUGUGUCUGCCCCCAUCACCCCCUGCAAGCUGUUAUGUGACUCCAGCCCCUCUGAGGGUUGGGGGGCUUCAGGACCCAUGUAGCACCCUCUUCCCCUCUGCAAAGGCCAGGGCGAAACAUGACCACUAAUGAAUGGGGCACAGCGGUACCAGGCCACAGGACUUGAAGAAGCUAAUUUGGAACUGCAAGAGGAAGUUAAGGAGGUGAAAUGUGCAGCCUUAACUGCCUUGGGACCUGCCUUUCUCCCUGUAUCAUAAGCGACCUGUUGAAUCAAAAGGGAAGGGGGCUUGCUGGAGCCUCUCUGAGGUGCGGAUACUCCACCACCCAAGCUUGGAGUCUUGACUUUCCAGCUCCCGGUGAAGGACAGUUUGCACAGUUAUCUGCAGUGGCUUCUCCUCAAUCUUUGCACGGAGUCCCUGGCCGGGGUGCUGCCGGGUGUGGGCUGAGCCUCGCUACCGGCUCCCAUCUGGCCCUUUGGUUUAACAGCUUUUUCCCUCAAGGUGAGAACCAAGGUUUGCUUGAAGUGGGGGUGGGGCACGGGAAGGUCUCUCUCCUUCCCUCAACCCCCCCUUUCCUGGAUGACUGGGAACCCCAAUCCCCUCUGCACCCCGAGAAACCAAUCUGAAAGCCUGAGCCCACCUUUGGGGCAGCAGCGUGGCCUGAGCACAGGUGAGGGAGUUUGACUUCGGAUCCAAGCUCCACCACUGAUGUGCUUGGCCCAGAUCCGCAGAGGUGUUGCAGCACCUAAAUCCUACUGGUUUCAAUGGGAGUUAAGUGCCUGGAAGCCUUUGGGGGUCUGAGACUUGGCUCCCAAGUGCCCUCUCGUGGUGGAUGCUUCUGUCUG